UCCGUUUUCUGUCAGUAGACUAGCAGAGGUGAGCAGCAGCCGGCCUCCCGCUCCCAGCCACUGCGGGCAGCGGGUCGCGGCUCCCUGCCCAGGAGAGGCGAACCACAACAAACCCGACGCGUGCUGGAGGUAGUUCUCCUCUUCCACCUCUCUUUCUCCUCGGUCCCUCCUCCUCUCUCCCUGCUUGCACAUUCGUCCCGCGGCUCCUCCAGCCCUGGACCUUCCAGACUCAAGAUAAUGAAAUCAAGAAGUUUUGGAUCGUUCUUCUUGCUGCUUGAGAUUUAUUUGUCGACUACCCUGGGAUGGAUGCGUUCAGAGACAAGCAGAAGUGUUUCCUCAGAUGUGGGAGGGCUGCAAAAGAAGGAACUUAGAAGCCUUGAAGUAACAAGAAGAAAAGUGUAUUUUGGCCAUGAUAGCCUACAUGCAUCAUGUGAGAGAAAGCACUGUGGUCGAGGGAGUCGUUGUAUUAUAAAUGAAGAGACCCAGAUGCCCGAAUGUCAGUGUUUGGAAGGCUGCAAGUCUAGUUAUAUGCCAAUAUGUGGAUCUGAUGGCAAAUUCUAUGAAAACCACUGUGAGCUCCAUCGGGCCUCAUGUCUGCAGAAAAAGAAAAUCUACAUCAUCCAUAGCAAGGACUGUUUCUUCAAAGGUGACACAUGCACCAUGUCUGACUACAACCGUCUAAAGCACAUCCUCCUAGACCUUGAAGCCCAACGCCAUACCCACAGCAGAGUCCCUGGUCCAGACUCAUCAUCCCAGAAGCAUUUCCUUGUGGAAUCUCUGUUUAAGUACUUAGAUUACAAUGGCAAUGGAUACCUCAGCAGUUCUGAACUGACUCAGCUUAUGAAGGAGGAACCCCUGGAAAAUGACUUUCUCGGCUGUUCACUAGAAGACCUACUCCGAUUUGAUGACUACAACAAUGAUGGUUCCCUCAGUUUGCAGGAGUUCUACACCACCUUUCAAGUAGUUCAUCUGAGUCUUCCUGAGGAGCAGAGGAUCAUUGUUACUACAGUGACCGUUGGGCUCAGCACAGUAUUAACUUGUGGCAUCCAAGGGGCCCUCAGACCACCCAUCAUCUGGGAGCGCAAUGGAAUCACCCUAAACUUCUUAGAUUUGGAAGAUAUCAAUGAUUUUGGAGAAGAUGAUUCCCUCUACAUUACCAAGGUGACAACUAUUCACAUGGGCAAUUACACCUGCCAUGCCUACGGCUAUGAGGACCUGUACCAGACUCACGUCCUUCAGGUGAAUGUGCCUCCUGUCAUCCGUGUUUAUCCGGAAACUCAGGCCCAGGAACCUGGAGUCUCUGCCAGUCUGAAAUGCCAUGCAGAAGGCAUUCCCACCCCAAGAAUUACCUGGCUAAAAAAUGGCAUGGAUGUUGGACCUAAACUGUCUAAGCAGCUCUCACUCAUCGCCAAUGGAAGUGAACUUCACAUCAACAGUGUGCGUUAUGAAGAUACAGGAGCCUACACAUGCAUUGCUAAGAAUGAAGUAGGUGUCGAUGAGGAUAUUUCUUCUCUCUUUAUUGAAGAUUCAGCCAGGAAGACCCUUGCAAACAUACUUUGGCGAGAGGAAGGUCUCAGUGUGGGAAACGUGUUUUACGUCUUUUCGGAUGAUGGGAUCACGAUCAUUCAACCAACUGACUGUGAGAUCAGGAGACACAUCAAGCCCAGUGAAAAGAUUUUUGCAAGCUAUGAAGAAAUAUGCCCUCAGAUGGAAGGAGAACUCACUCAGUCCUGCCAGUGGGCAUCUGCAGUCAACGUCAGGAACCGAUAUAUCUAUGUGUCCCAGCCAGUACUGAGCAGAAUUCUCAUAAUAGAUGUACAAACUCAGAAAGUCCAGCAGGCCAUAGGUGUGGAUUCACUACCAGCUAAGCUGCUCUAUGACAAGUCGCAUGAUCAAGUCUGGGUUCUAAGCUGGGGAAAUAUGCAGAAGUCCCAGCCAAGACUUCAGGUUAUACCUGAAGCAAGUGCAGGUGAACGUCAACAACACAUCAUUCGAGUACCAUAUGAAGGAGUGGAUGAUUUCUUCAUCCCCCCUACAAACCUUGUUAUUAAUCACAUCAGGUUCGGCUUCAUCUUUAACAAGUCAAAUUUGACAGUUCACAAAAUUGACCUUGAAACAAUGAUGCUUGUCAAAACCAUAAGCUUCCAUAACUACAGCUGCAUUCCCCAUGCGAUGGCCUACACCCACUUAGGAGGCUACUUUUUUGUCCAGUGCAAAAAAAAUCAAACCACACUUGCAUCAUCACAGGUAGUGAUUGACAGUGUUACAGACACAGUGAUUGGCCCCAAUGGUGACAUCAAAGGGGCACCACACGUGUCUCCUGAUGGGCACUUCUUGGUCAGCACAGAUGAGGACAGUGGCCGACUCCAAGUGCAGGCCAUAACUACCCGGGGAGAAAUCCAGUUGUUAUAUGACUUACAGACAGAUGUGCACCUCUGUGAUCUGGCAUUUCAGCCAUCUUUUACUGAAAGCAACCAGUACUACAUCUAUGCCACGUCACUUUUCCAAACAGACUUAAUUUUUAUGGAGUUGUCAACAGGGAGGGCGGAUAUGCUGAAGAACUUAAAGGAACCUAUUUUAGCCCAGGACUGGCCAUGGGACAGCAACACAAGGAUUGUGAAAGAUAGUGGAUUAUUUGGACAGUACCUCAUCACGUCAGCCAAGGAGUCUCUGUUUCUCAUCAAUGGGUGGCAAAAAACAUUACGCUGUGAAGUAUCAGGCAUCAAGAGAGGUAACACAGUGGUUUGGGUUGGAGAGGUAUGAACAGGUCUCAAAGCAGAAAAAUGGUGGGACCUUGACACUGCAAUGAAUAAGCAGUAGCAUUGUAUAUUUUUACACUGAUGAAAGAAAAAUUCCUGUAUAAGCUUCGUGGUGCAACACUGGUCUCCUUGCAAAUUUUCUAGUAUAAAGUAUGCUCUGCUAACAAGAAUGGGGUUUCCUAGGGGCUUUUCAUUAGGAAGUAUGAUUUAUGCCUUGAGCUGUGACGAGAACAUAUGCUGCAUAAAGGACUCAUUUUUGUGCCGAGGUACAAGCCACUUGGUGAUGCCAUGAAACUGAAAACUUGUACUUUUCUGGGCUGAUAAACUUGUCACUUGUCCUCAAGUGGUCAGUCUCUUUUCCCUUCUGACUCAGCCCAGCUCCUCUUAACUUUAGGCUUUAAAGCCUAUGGGAAGGAUCCUUAAAAUAGAGGGAGUAUGGAAGAAAUGAAGAAGCUGAUGGAAUAUGGACAUUGAAAUGGAGUGAUCUAAGGAAAUGUGACUAUGUUCUGCCCCAAGUGGUCAUGACUCUUAGAGAGGGCUCUCAGAGCCAAGUGCAGGUGGCAGUGAAACUCUUUCCCUCCUCAAAUUGUAGUAGCUAGGUCCUGAGAUGCUUCUGUGCAUACCCUCUAUGGGGAUUCCUCUAGGUCUCCUCAUCAGGUAUUAUUUUCCCCCUUAGCAUUUGACUUUUUGGUUUUCUUCUUAUUUAUUUCUUAUUUCUGCUGCUGUGGGCCUUAAAACCAGCAUGGCUAGAAUGCCUGUCCCAUCCAUAUCGUAUCUCAGAGGGACAGGGAAUUCCAUUCCCUUGACUUACUGAAAUUAUUAGAAUUGUACACUCUGGUGAACUAGGUCUUUCUAAGGUACAGCAACACUUCUCCAUGCCUUACACCAGAUUCCUGGCAGCCUCAUGGGCAUCCAAAUGCCACACCAUGUAGCCAGCAUGAAGAUGCCCUGGACUGUUACUAGUAGCAAGGACACUCUGUGGAAGUAGCUUUGAAAAACUAUGGUUCUCCACAGAAGAUACACACAUUUUUUGAACACCUCACAGACUGAGUUGCAUAUUUCUGGCAAAUCCAAAGGAUUCAGUUGCCCUUUGUAACUGAAUUGCUGGUGUUUUAAAGUGAAGGUCUUCAUGGCAAGUCUAUUUACGAGCUGAGCAUCUCAUUAUCAAAGAAGGUGCCUAGGCUGGGACUCCUUCAAAAAGAUAAAUGGCAGUAAGAUUGACAUUUCUGUAGGCGUUCUGCUAAGAUGAGUGAGGUGUGACCACGUGCAUAAAGGGCAUGAGGUUAGAUGCUAUAUGUGAUGUGGGUGAGACAACAAUCCUUAAAGCUAUUCUUUGCAAAUUUCCCUUUGGCAAUCCCAUGGAUACAUGGUAAGAUCAUUGAUUCUUAGGGUACCUCUGGAUGACUAAAAUACCUUAUUUUGCUCCAGGUUUAUGUCAUGAUUUGAAACCUCAUGACUUUUAUCAUACCGAUCACAGCGAAACCAGAUACCACGUUAUACAGAUACAGUGUUCUCUCACCCAGAUGCUUAUAGAUGUUUGUUACCUCAUCCUAUGACCCCAAGGAAGUCAGAAUCAAAGAGAUACCAGCUAUCAGUGAUGGGUGAUUUCCUAAAAAUUGCCUCCCUUUGAAGAGAGGCAGGUGAGCAUGAUAAUUAUGAUUUCCAUCAAAGACAAGUCUGGAAUAGUCCUCAAAUGCACUGCUAAGAAAGUGUUGUUGUUAUUGUUGUUGUUGUUAUUGAAAUUCUGUGUAAAGAUCGUAAGUCAAAUGUACUCAGUGAGGAAGGAGAGACCCCUAAGGCUUUCGCCGAAUGUGCAAUUCGUUUAAUGUCAGUGGGAUGAAACUUGCCUACUUUACUCUUUUAGUCUUGAACAAGAAUAUUUGAUCUCAUGAGCCAUAGGAGGUUGAUGAGUCCCUGCCCUCAUUCCUGUGUGGCCAUAAAAGCCUGACCAUGGCCUUCACCUUUGACCGUCUCCUCUGUUCUGCCUCAUCACUGCAAGGAAUCAUGUCUUUCAGGGAAAGGAAGGGAUGGACUUUGUAAGUACUCUUUAAAUAUGCACAAUUCCUUUCUAAACCCCACAUACGUCUAUCCAUUAUCUCUGUUGCCCAGGUGUUAGUGUGCCCCAGCCAUUCUUCUUCCUGUCUCACCUCCUCCUGUAGCCCUGGACUUUAGUGUGUUUACUUAGAAAAGGUUAGUGUGGUCGGGAGAAAACUAGAAAGGACUUUUUGCUCUUUAUUUUUUAUAAAUGUAAAAUUUGUAAAUAUCUGUUGAUGUUGAUAACUUUGAGAAGGGAAGAUUUAUUCUUUGGACGACUUAGAACACAGAUCUCCCUGUUUCUCUUUGUUUAAAGUUUUUGACAGGAUGUCAUUUUUGACUCCAAAGGAUUUUUAUCAUCUUGGGUGUCACUUCUGUGCUGUCACUUUCUCCUCCAAAAGACAAGAGGCUUCCAACCUCCCUCCUUGGGCAAUGUCUUCUAAACAGAAAGAUUUAUGGCAUGACAAAAUGCCUUUUCACUUUACAGGAGGAUACAUUGUAGUAUUCCUUUAAAUGAUGAAUUCCCUUAACACUCUAAAUACAGAUCUGCAUUUAGAAAAGCAACAUGUGUUCACACACAUACACACAUUGCACAUAUACACACAUGCAUACAUUUUCAAGACCACAUCUGUUGUAUAAAGUUAGCUACUUCUGUGUUCACUCUAAAUGGCAGGACAACCAUGAAAUUAGAAGUCUGCUGAAUAAAACCCUGUCACCAAGCUUCACUGAUCUGCUCCCUCAGUUUGGAGUCCUGAGAUGCUGUCCAACCCUGUAGGAAAGGGGCAGGUGUACAGCACGGUGCUGGGUGAUGACAGAAGCCCAAGCACCACGCUGGCAGCAAUGAGCAAAUCUCAUUCUUUACAAAGGGUUCUUUUGGCAAUAAGUGAAGACAACUUCAGAAUACUUUGAUCUAGAGAACAGGACCCUAAGUGUCCCCUACCCUUUCUGCUUCUUCCUUAUGUCAUCUUUCUCAUCUGUCCAGAAAAAAGACUAGUGCUUUAGACACUUGAUGCUCCAUUCUGCACCUGGCAAGAGAAGGGUAGAAACUGGAAAGAUAGGAAGCAGGUAGUGCUCUCUGCAUUCUGACCAUCAUCUCACUGACACUCAUGCCUCGCUAAGAUAGUCCUUCCCUCCUUUAAAGAUAAGCUAUUUUAUAAGGACUCUCAAUUGGUCUGGUCUGGUCACCGAUGUGAAAAAAAAGAAAAAGGAAAAGUUGUUCCCUGCCAGUAGGGCAUUGAAAUUUCCAUCUGGAGUAAUUGAUCCAAGAAUGUAGUGAGCUCUGUGGGCACAUAUAUGUUCUAAGCCAGCCUUCCUAGCAACCUCCCUUGACUAGCCCUGUCAGAGGGUGACCAGAUCACAGAACUACUGACAUAAAGCUGAAAGGGACCUGAUAGGCCAUAUAAUCCAACUCCAUCAAUGAGGAAACUUGAGCCCAAUGAAAUUUAGUUGCCUAAGGUCACACAGGUAAGAGAAUUUGAAACUCUUUCCGUAGUACUGCACUGCCUCCCUCUCCUCUAAGGUCCACAUGAAAAUCCAUUUCUCUUCUUGCCAUUAAGGACUCCUCUUCCCACCCCACACCCCAUAUCCCUGACCUAAGGCUUAGGGACUAUGACUUCUCUGAGCCAAGGAGGGAACUAAAGGAUGAGAAGUACGUAUAGCUUUCCAUCUCCAGACCCCAGGUCCCUGGUCGCAACCUAUGGGCUUCUGCUCUCUGUAUUCUCCAUCUUGGAUUUAUAUUACAUUCGUAAAAAUCUGGUUGCCAUUGAUUUUUAAAAAUGAAUUUUAUUGAUAACUUUGGUUUUUAAUAUUGCAAAAACUUAUCUCACCAUCCUUUUCCCUCCCCCACCCCAGAACCAUUAUAACAAAUAAUAUUUUCAAAGAAAAAAAAAAGAGAAAAAUCAACAAAACUGAUUAAUACAUUGAAAACAUCUGAAAGUAUAUGCAAUAUACUGCACCCAUGGAACUCCCAUCUCUGCAAAGGCACGGGGUGGAGGUGUUCUCUCCUUUCCCUUCUUGGGCUCCAGUGUUUGUUCUUUGAAAUUUCACAAUGUCCUUUUUGUUUCUUUUGACAAUUUUCUUUCUGUUUAGGUUGUAGCCAUUGUCUAUAUUGUUUUCCUGGCUCUGAUUGCUGAAGUAAGCAUCAGAUUAUGUAAAUCUUUUCCAUGUUUCUUUGUAUUCAUCAUAUUUGUCAUUUCUUACUGUAUAGUAAUAUUCCAUUUUAUUCAUGUACCACAGUUGUUCAGUCAUUCCCCAACUGAUGGGCAUUUAUUUUAUCAACAAUUCUUGGCUAUCACCAAAAAGAAGUGCUGUUAUAAAUAUUUUAGUGUCUAUGAGGACUUUCUUCUUACUGACAACCUCUGGGCAGGGAGAGGUCAGUCGUAGUCUACUAGUGGAAUCUCUGGAUUUCAAAAGGUAUGAACAUUUUAGUCACUUUAUUUGCAUAAUUACA
Non-coding RNA from Phascolarctos cinereus (koala), 7242 nucleotides. NCBI's taxonomy places the organism in Eukaryota, Metazoa, Chordata, Mammalia, Diprotodontia, Phascolarctidae. The record is from RefSeq and is a predicted model, not a curated record.